GACGAACGCUGGCGGCGUGCCUAAUACAUGCAAGUCGAGCGAAGUUUUUCUGGUGCUUGCACCGGGAAAACUUAGCGGCGAACGGGUGAGUAACACGUAAAGAACCUGCCUCAUAGACUGGGACAACUAUUGGAAACGAUAGCUAAUACCGGAUAACAGCAUUAACUGCAUGGUUGAUGUUUAAAAGUUGGUUUUGCUAACACUAUGAGAUGGCUUUGCGGUGCAUUAGCUAGUUGGUGGGGUAAAGGCCUACCAAGGCGACGAUGCAUAGCCGACCUGAGAGGGUGAUCGGCCACACUGGGACUGAGACACGGCCCAGACUCCUACGGGAGGCAGCAGUAGGGAAUCUUCCGCAAUGGGCGAAAGCCUGACGGAGCAACGCCGCGUGAGUGAAGAAGGAUUUCGGUUCGUAAAGCUCUGUUGUUAGGGAAGAAUGAUUGUGUAGUAACUAUACACAGUAGAGACGGUACCUAACCAGAAAGCCACGGCUAACUACGUG
RNAcentral lists this ribosomal RNA (499 nucleotides) under uncultured bacterium. Its description in RNAcentral is "partial 16S ribosomal RNA". It matches the Rfam family "Bacterial small subunit ribosomal RNA", at positions 28 to 507 of the family's 1533-position model. The record is from RNAcentral.